GACGAACGCUGGCGGCGUGCUUAACACAUGCAAGUCGAACGAAGAGCGAUGGAAGCUUGCUUCUAUCAAUCUUAGUGGCGCACGGGUGAGUAACGCGUAAUCAACCCGCCCUUCAGAGGGGGACAACAGUUGGAAACGACUGCUAAUACCGCAUACGAUCUAAUCUCGGCAUCGAGGAUAGAUGAAAGGUGGCCUCUACAUGUAAGCUAUCACUGAAGGAGGGGAUUGCGUCUGAUUAGCUAGUUGGAGGGGUAACGGCCCACCAAGGCGAUGAUCAGUAGCCGGUCUGAGAGGAUGAACGGCCACAUUGGGACUGAGACACGGCCCAGACUCCUACGGGAGGCAGCAGUGGGGAAUCUUCCGCAAUGGACGAAAGUCUGACGGAGCAACGCCGCGUGAGUGAUGACGGCCUUCGGGUUGUAAAGCUCUGUUAAUCGGGACGAAAGGCCUUCUUGCGAAUAGUGAGAAGGAUUGACGGUACCGGAAUAGAAAGCCACGGCUAACUACGUG
This 510-nucleotide ribosomal RNA is filed under the name uncultured bacterium. Its description in RNAcentral is "partial 16S ribosomal RNA". It matches the Rfam family "Bacterial small subunit ribosomal RNA", at positions 28 to 507 of the family's 1533-position model. The record is from RNAcentral.